UCCCGGGUAGUGUAAUUGGCAACACGCCUGACUCUGAAUCAGGAGAUUCGAGGUUCGAAGCCUUGCCCGGGAGCCA
This 76-nucleotide transfer RNA is filed under the name Candidatus Meridianibacter frigidus. Its description in RNAcentral is "tRNA-Gln". It matches the Rfam family "tRNA". Rfam says of the family: Transfer RNA (tRNA) molecules are approximately 80 nucleotides in length. Their secondary structure includes four short double-helical elements and three loops (D, anti-codon, and T loops). The record is from RNAcentral. Lineage: Bacteria; Bacillati; Vulcanimicrobiota; Vulcanimicrobiia; Vulcanimicrobiales; Vulcanimicrobiaceae.